Long non-coding RNA from Folsomia candida, 1327 nucleotides. RefSeq lists it as uncharacterized. The record is from RefSeq and is a predicted model, not a curated record. Lineage: Eukaryota; Metazoa; Arthropoda; Collembola; Entomobryomorpha; Isotomidae. The transcript has 5 exons.
AGGAGGACAGCUACAGCUACAGCUACUCGUACGAUUUAAACGUGUAGAAUACUUGAAAAACGGAAUUUUUCAUCAAAAGUAGACACAAGUAGCCAAGAUCAAAUUUCACAUGAAAUGUUCCGGUGGUAGAUGCAAAAAUGAGCUAGUGGGAGAAUCCAGUCAAGUGUGUCAAAUGGCUUGUGUAGACGCCUUGAUAAUUCAAAGACCUACAUUUUUAUACAGCAUUGUAGCAGUUUUCAAGAGGUUUGUUAUCCUCCAAACCAAAUUCAAUAUGUACAAUCAGCGGAGCUGCAUGUAAGUAUGUGCUUACGUACAUAUGUACCUUCGAUAGUUCGAGAGCAUACACAAGUACAAUCAUACAUUCCGAUCGUGUUCAUACAUAUGUGCCUUAAACAUCGUACUCUAUACUUUUAGUGUAAAACCGAAUGUCAGUGCUCUAAACAAAUAAAGACGAAACUUAUUCGAUACUACAACUAUUCAACAGUCAUCCAACUCACAUUGGAAUGUGAAAUGUGAUGCAAAUUCCUUUCCAAAAUGCCAUUCUUAGUUCUAAGUAGUCGUAGUAGCAAGUAACGACAUAAGUUGCAGUGAGGUCGAAGAAACGGAAAAAGCAACACACCGAAGCUACUAAAGUUCUCCAAAUCGAUAAGAUUUUAGCAUCGCAAAAUUUGGAUCAACCACAAGGCAAUGAAGAAGAUAACAAUGAAAAUAAUCCAGUAUCUGCUCCAGCAGAACCGAACCUUGAUACGGAUAUUGAUGCACAAAUCGACUAUAAAGAAAAGUUCUUGGCUCUUAAAAUAAAAUAUAGAGAAUUGCGGCGCAAACAUAAAACCUUAGUGCGUUCGGUGGCUGAAACCAAUGAGGUUGAGCUGUAUCCUUCAUCGGGUGUCACGUUAAGUGCCGCAGAAUUAGCGUCAAUCAAACUGAUGUCGAAUCAACCAACGGUGAGAGCAAGAAAUUUGUUUCGCCGUUUGUUUACGUUAGAUGAACUCCGGACCCACUCACUUCUCGGAAAACGAUGUAACGCCAACAGAAAUGCAAUUCCAUUACCGGCAAUUGACCCGAAUCAUUGCAAUGCAGUUAUUGGAUACAUUUUGAAAGAGGAAGGAGUCGAUGGUUUGCCUGCCAAUGAUCUUAGCUCUGCAGAUGCGAAGUUAUUUUUGAAGAAAAAAAGAACACUUAAACGUGAAAUAACCAAAUCUUUGUCGGACUUUUUGCUUGAGGAGACUCGCAAGCCUUUUGUAUAAUUGAUACAUUAAACUUGUCUUCUUAUGAUUUAGAAAGUUUCAAAUUGUAAUCGUUUAUCUAUGAAAUAUAACGUACAAUU